GCCUCUGUAGCUUAAGGGUUAAAGCACCAACGAAUACAUGCCGAAGGCUAUCUUUUUCCGUGGAAGACCUGGGUUGGAUUUCCCAGCAGAGGCG
Non-coding RNA from Paramarasmius palmivorus, 94 nucleotides. Lineage: Eukaryota; Fungi; Basidiomycota; Agaricomycetes; Agaricales; Marasmiaceae. The record is from the annotation of a GenBank genome assembly.